Molecule: long non-coding RNA, 919 nt
Filed under: Otus sunia (Oriental scops-owl)
Lineage: Eukaryota; Metazoa; Chordata; Aves; Strigiformes; Strigidae
Description: lncRNA (ENSOSUG00000008577.1)
Source: RNAcentral
AUGGGAAAUGGUUGGCAUUCUUUCUUCCUAAAGGCACGGGGAGAGGGGGGGGGAGAGAGAGAGAGACGUACACACACAGACACACACACGCAUCCCACAGCCAGGGAAGAGGCAGAGAGCAGGCAAGGCAGAGAGGGAGCGAGGGUAGAGAGAGAGAGAUCCCCAAAGCAGCCCUGCGCCUCUGAGCUGGAAUCUGCCAGGGUGCAGCCAACAUGUUGGUCCUCAGCUCACUUGUCUGGGGAUCUUACCUGCAGCUUUUCUUCUGCUUUGCUUUAUCUCAGACUGCGUACGUUGACAAUAUCUUCUCAGUUUCAGCAGAUCUCCCUUGUUUGGAACAGAAGAAACAGUUCAACCACAGAGCAUGCUGCCUCCUUGGCCCUCCUCCACCACCCCUGUUUCCACCACCGUACUUCAGGCAUGGCUGGAGCACUGGUCCACAAGGAAUUCCUGGUAUAAUGGGACCAAAAGGGGAGAAGGGGGAGAUUGGCAGGCCAGGAAGAAAGGUAUGAACCAAGAUGCUGUCUCAGAAAACCAUCUAAUACUUGACACAUAGCAGCUGUCAGAGAGGGGAUGCAGACAACAGUUAAACAAAAAUUAACUAAUGUUGAAGUUUAAUCUGUUUGUGCUGCUUCCCCAGGUACCCAGGGUGGGUGGUAGGGAGCUCUGGGUGCAGGGCUGGACAUCUGGGCCCUCCAGCUUGGAAAGGUGUCCCAGUUGGUUUGAAUUCAAUAAAUUCCCUCAGUAAGAGCAUGCGACUCUGGCCGGACAAUUAAAACAGAGUAGGAAGUUGCCUGAACUGUGCCUCUGUGGACAGGGGAAGCAGAGUAUGGGAGUUAUCAUAAAAGGUGUGUUAAAAAAAGCCCAAAGCAAAAUCAAACUUUUGACACCUCCAAAGUCUAAACAAGGCUCAGCCAAAUAU